RNAcentral lists this ribosomal RNA (253 nucleotides) under uncultured bacterium. Its description in RNAcentral is "partial 16S ribosomal RNA". It matches the Rfam family "Bacterial small subunit ribosomal RNA", at positions 524 to 776 of the family's 1533-position model. The record is from RNAcentral.
GACGUAGGGCGCGAGCGUUGUCCGGAUUUAUUGGGCGUAAAGAGCUCGUAGGCGGCUUGUCGCGUCGUCCGUGAAAACUUGGGGCUCAACCCCAAGCUUGCGGUCGAUACGGGCAGGCUCGAGUUCGGUAGGGGAGACUGGAGUUCCUGGUGUAGCGGUGAAAUGCGCAGAUAUCAGGAGGAACACCGGUGGCGAAGGCGGGUCUCUGGGCCGAUACUGACGCUGAGGAGCGAAAGCGUGGGGAGCGAACAGG